RNAcentral lists this ribosomal RNA (253 nucleotides) under uncultured bacterium. RNAcentral's name for it is "partial 16S ribosomal RNA". It matches the Rfam family "Bacterial small subunit ribosomal RNA", at positions 524 to 776 of the family's 1533-position model. The record is from RNAcentral.
UACUGAGGGGGCAAGCGUUGUUCGGAAUUACUGGGCGUAAAGGGCGCGUAGGCGGCCUUCUAAGUCGAACGUGAAAUCCCCGGGCUCAACCCGGGAACUGCGUCCGAUACUGGAAGGCUUGAAUCCGGGAGAGGGAUGCGGAAUUCCAGGUGUAGCGGUGAAAUGCGUAGAUAUCUGGAGGAACACCGGUGGCGAAGGCGGCAUCCUGGACCGGCAUUGACGCUGAGGCGCGAAAGCCAGGGGAGCAAACGGG